This 795-nucleotide ribosomal RNA is filed under the name uncultured Lactococcus sp. Its description in RNAcentral is "partial 16S ribosomal RNA". The stretch from base 2 to 551 matches the Rfam family "Bacterial small subunit ribosomal RNA", at positions 9 to 546 of the family's 1533-position model. The record is from RNAcentral. Lineage: Bacteria; Bacillati; Bacillota; Bacilli; Lactobacillales; Streptococcaceae.
AGAGUUUGAUCCUGGCUCAGGACGAACGCUGGCGGCGUGCCUAAUACAUGCAAGUCGAGCGAUGAUUAAAGAUAGCUUGCUAUUUUUAUGAAGAGCGGCGAACGGGUGAGUAACGCGUGGGAAAUCUGCCGAGUAGCGGGGGACAACGUUUGGAAACGAACGCUAAUACCGCAUAACAAUGAGAAUCGCAUGAUUCUUAUUUGAAAGAAGCAAUUGCUUCACUACUUGAUGAUCCCGCGUUGUAUUAGCUAGUUGGUAGUGUAAAGGACUACCAAGGCGAUGAUACAUAGCCGACCUGAGAGGGUGAUCGGCCACACUGGGACUGAGACACGGCCCAGACUCCUACGGGAGGCAGCAGUAGGGAAUCUUCGGCAAUGGGGGCAACCCUGACCGAGCAACGCCGCGUGAAUGAAGAAGGUUUUCGGAUCUAAAACUCUGUUGUUAGAGAAUAACGUUAAUAAAGUGGAAAAAUUCCUUAAUUGCGGUUCUAACCUAAAGGGACGGCUAACUCCUGCCAUCACCGCGGUAAUACGUAGUUCCAUACGUUGUCCGGAUUUUUGGUGGUAAGCGAUGCAUGUGGUUUUUUAAAUCUUAAUUAAAGGAUUGGCUCUUCAUGGUUGCUCUGAAUUUGUGUGACUGUUGCAGUGAAGAAAUUGAUUCUUUGUUUCUGUGAAUUAAUUAUUUUGUAUUUUGUUGUGAUUUUUUUGUUUUUUUUGAUGUGUUUUUUGUAUUUUUUUUAUUUUUUUAUUUUCUAAUUUUUUUUGUGAUUUUUUGUUUAAUUUUUGUUAUUUUUUG